RNAcentral lists this long non-coding RNA (961 nucleotides) under Capra hircus (goat). RNAcentral describes it as "lncRNA (ENSCHIG00010021853.1)". The record is from RNAcentral. Lineage: Eukaryota; Metazoa; Chordata; Mammalia; Artiodactyla; Bovidae.
GGGUCUCCGGAAAACAAGAGUCCCCUGGGACCUGUGCCAGACUCUGUCUUGCGGGAAACCCCGGCCCCUCUGCAGACCCGGGUAUCUUCACCUUUUCGGGGUUAGACUGUCCAAAGGUAACGUCCUUCCGUCCAAGUCUAUGGAAUCUCUCCCAGAGCGCUAUUAAGCAUGCUUACGCAUAGCACCCAGAGGCUUUCUCUCUGCCCAGAGUGAAUUUCAAACAAUUGCUUCACAUCAGGUCAAAUUUCACAUACUGGGGGGANNNNNNNNNNNNNNNNGCGGCCUCACCUGAUCUGCUUUUAUGCGAGUUCAUAAAGGAGGCGGCGGGAGAUGUGUUAAUAGCUUUCAUGAGGUGCUAUGGCCCAGGAUCUGGAGAUGAUAUGAAUUAUGCUCGAUGUUAAAGCCCUCUUUAUCGUCCUGGGAGGAAAGAAUGAGACAUACUGUAUGUGCCUUUUUUUUUUUUUUUUCUGAAGCAGAGGAACGUUUGAUUUACUACUCAGGAGGGGGUUGCUCUUCACAGCCAACACUUAUUUUGGUUCUAUUUCAUUACUGCUGUGCACUUUGCAGGGCUGGAGUCCACAUGGCUGCAGCGACUGUCUACAAGCAGAUAAGGGUGAAGGAAGUCACACACUUGGUGGGCUCCCCACCGCCACCGUUUCCGUUCUCCUCCUCUGAUGCCUUGGCUGGAAUGGAGAUGCAUUUUCCUGCAACCCUGGUCUCCGGAGGAGCAGUGCUCUCUCUGCUCUCCCUGGUGGAGCUUUCCACGGGCUUGAAGAAGCCGGCACCAUCUUUCUCCAGCACAGAGCUGACCAUGUCAGGACUCCUUCAUGGCUCACCGCUGCCGAGUGGACUCACGCCCAGACUUUUCAGCACCAUCUCCUAUGCCGUUCACACGGUGGCCCUAAAGGCCUCUCCAGCCCCUCUUUGGGGAGGACGGCGCUUGGUGUUGGCCACUUCAUAA